This 1877-nucleotide long non-coding RNA is filed under the name Apteryx owenii (little spotted kiwi). RNAcentral describes it as "lncRNA (ENSAOWG00000012383.1)". Lineage: Eukaryota; Metazoa; Chordata; Aves; Apterygiformes; Apterygidae. The record is from RNAcentral.
CGUUCGGCUACGCCCGGCCCGUUCCCAGGCUUUCCCAGAUUAAACCGUCCCAUCCCGUGGCGGCUCCCCCCGCUCGGCUUUGAAAAGCUUUCCCCUAAAUCCUCCCCCCUUCCCAAAACGAUCCCGGCGUCGCAGGUUUGCGCCCGUUCCUUCGAAUGCGGCGGGCCAAAAAAGGGGCAACGGGCCAAGCUCCGGAGUCGGCGGCUCCGAAACGGCUCCGGAUGAGCCGUGCCAAAGCCGCAAACGAGGCCAAAAGACGGCGGUUCGGAGCUGCGAGUCCGUGGGAGAAAUGCUUGGAAUAGCAGCAGCAAAGCCAAACUAAAGCUCCGAGGUCCCCGCCGGGUCACGGCGGGAGUUUUGCUGCGGCCGGGGUAGGAAAAAUAAAUCCCCAAAGCGAGCGGAAGGGCGGGAUUUGAAGGGCGUUUUUCCCUCCCGGGGCUCGUGGUUCCCUUGGAGAGGGGCAGAAAAACACAACGCGGUGGGAAAGGAGGGAAGCGCGGCUCGGGCUCCCGGCCCGCAGCGAAUCUGCCCGCAAAUAUUUGCUGGAGAGCGGGAAAAAUGUUCGAUUCCGACGGGAAAAUCCCCCUCAGCCAGACUCGAGGGUGGCCGGAGAAAUCGGGCGGCCGAUGCUGCCCGUGAGCAAAGCCGUUUUGCCCCCUUCCGCCGCUGUGCCAGGGCAGAAACCGCCAGGAAUGGCGGCGGCCAUCGGCAACACCAGGAAAAGCCAGACGGGUUGGGAAAGGGAGGAAAAACGCGGGAGAAGGGGAAUUAUCGCGGUGGAGGAGGAGGACGGGCGCAGGAAUGGCGUCAGGCUCCUGCAGCGCUCAGGCACCUCGGGCCCCGCGACUCCCGGCCCAGCCGGGGUUUUUCCAAGGCGGGAAAAGGUUCCUGGGAGCUGGCAGUGGCUGCUUUUCCGUGCUUGCCCGCUGCCGAGGCUCUCGAAGCGGCGGGGAAGCAGGGAAAGUCUCAGCGGCGUUUUCGCCCGCUUCUUUUUCGCCCUAAAAAUCCUCGCGCCCACCCGGAAGAGCGGGAGGAUACAAGCCCGUCAGCCAGCGGCAAAUCUCCGCUUUAAAUCAUCGCUUAAAACCACGAAUCCGGGAUUACACGAAAGGCGCGUUUUUCCGCAGCGAGCGGAAUUUAAAGGCAACAGGCAGAAAACAGCCCGUUCGCCGUCAAAAUUUGCUCCGGCGUCUGAGAGCGCUGGAAUUAUGAGUUUGCUAAAAAAAGAAAGAAAAAAGCCACGCGGUGAUGCGGCUAUUCCCGGAAAAGUCAUCGGAUUCCCACGCCCCCGGGGAGGGGGGAAAAAAAGGCGGAGGAGCCCGGGGCCGGUUCAGGGAGGAUGUUUUAACGAUGCUAAAGGAGAUUUAAGAAAAGCAACGAGAUCUGGGAGCAGGUUAUCGCUCCGAAACGCGAUUGCCCUCGCUGGAAAAGCGAAGCUCCGCUCGGCCUCGGCAGCGUCGAGCCCCUACGGCAGCGCCUGGAUGCGGCGCUGGGAAAUUUGGGGACGCGGUGGGAAAGCUGCAGAGUUUGGGGAGACCCCAAAAUCACAGGGAAGCUGCAGAGUCCGGGGAGACCCCAAAAUCACGGGAAAGCUGCAGAGUCCGGGGAGACCCCAAAAUCGCAGGGAAGCUGCAGAGUCCCAGAAGACCCCAAAAUCAUGGGAAAACUGCAGAGUCCGGGGAGACCCCAAAAUCGCAGGGAAGCUGCAGAGUCCCGGAAGACCCCAAAAUCAUGGGAAAACUGCAGUCCCACGAAGAACCCAAAAUCACGGGGAAGCUGCAGAGUCCCAGAAGACCCCAAAACCGUGGGAAAGCUGCAGAGUCCCGGAAGACCCCAAAAUCGCGGGGAAGCUGCAGAGUCCCGGAAGACCCCAAAAC